Non-coding RNA from Acanthosepion pharaonis, 98 nucleotides. NCBI's taxonomy places the organism in Eukaryota, Metazoa, Mollusca, Cephalopoda, Sepiida, Sepiidae. The record is from the annotation of a GenBank genome assembly.
CAUUGAAACAUGGGUUCUCAUAAAAACACUGAAGUUAAGCAGUGGUGAGUCUGAUCAGUAACUAGAUGGGUGACCACUUGGGAAUACUAGGUCCUGUA